Diachasmimorpha longicaudata is the source of this 959-nucleotide long non-coding RNA. RefSeq lists it as uncharacterized. NCBI's taxonomy places the organism in Eukaryota, Metazoa, Arthropoda, Insecta, Hymenoptera, Braconidae. The record is from RefSeq and is a predicted model, not a curated record. The transcript is spliced from 3 exons.
UUUCCCUUAUCGACUCUUUCAACACCUUCUUCAUUUGUGGAAGUGAAGACACUUGGUUUUGCCUCAUUCAUUGCUGACCACAUUUUUUUAUAAGUUGUUGUAUUCGCACCCUAUCGAAAAUUAUCUAAAUUUAUAUUCCACAGACCUAUCGAUAAACAAAUUAUGUCCACGGAGAAGAAAAAUCCAGCAGAAAUUACCCAAACGUUUGGUCAUACGGUAACAAUUCUCCAACAGUCAGCUCAACUACAUCAAGAUUAUCAACCGAUUAGACACUGAGAGAUAAAUAUAUUUUUUCCUAAUACUAACUUCCUUGACAAAAGUAUUUACUUUUGCAAAAUUAUAUCUCCUCGAUUGACUUAACCCCAGAAAGACAAAAUUCCCUGUCAAUUAAAAAAAAUGAACACUUCGCUGAAGGGACUCGAUAUUUGGCAGAAAUAUUUUUUUGUUCUCAGUCCUGAUCAUUUCUGCUGAAUUUAUCUCUCUGUGAAGAGGAGUCUUCGCUCGAGCCCCAUUCGGUUACACUCAAAGAUGUCAGAACGAUUGGUUUGUAGGUGUGGCCGAUGUUCACCUUGAAAAAUCCAGCUGUUGAACCAUCCCUUAUCGCCCCAUACUUGAUUUUUGUUUGACCAGCCAGGUCAUUGACACUACUGAUAGACACAUCCUUUUUCGUCGCUGUGAGGCAGGCAGCUAGGUUAGCCGUCCAAGAAGACACCAUUAUUAGGAUGAAGAACCACCACAUAGAUGCUGCCAAACGAGUCGAAUCGGCCCUAAACGGUUAUUGACAAUCAGCACUUUUCAUUUUGACGGGCCAUUUCCUGCAAACAUUUUGAUAAAUGGUUUACCUCGGAAGUAUAUCUGAACCCGCCUGUACCAGUGAUGGUGUGGUCAGCCACAGAGAAUUCGCUAAAUCAAAACUAUUCUCAAGUUCUUCGGGUUCAGAAUUCGAUGGUUGAUCAGCA